CCCUUCUUUUCCGGGUAGGCUAUGCUAGGUUAUUAACUUAUCCUGGAAAUGAUAAUAUAUUAAACAAAUCCCAGCACCACACCAAAAGGAGGCAGCAAAUCAGAGCUAAACAUAUCUAUCUGCGUUUCAUUUCCACAUGGUAAGAGAGCAACACAAAACAGGUUUAUAAUAUUUGGAUGUUUUAUUUUCUAGCAGGUUACAUUUCAUUAGUUUUUACAGAAUCUGAUAUUUGGAGCCAUUUGCAAAUAUGCUCAUAAAUUACAUGAUUUGUAAUCCUUAUCGAAAGAAAUCAUAAAAGAAUGAGGUGGUUAAUGAUCAAUAUUGGGAUCAACAGUGAUCACCCUACUAAUGUAGGCAUUACGUAUGCAGGCAGAAAAAGAAAAGUUCCCAUUAAGGUCUCAUGUGAAACACCACAGGUCUGAAAUACUCAGGGAGUAUUCCUGAGAGCCUGGAGCUCACGGGACAACAUUCACACACAUUCUGCUUCAUGAAGAGGUCAGAUUAUCGUCAGACCAUAGACAUUACGUCAAAGGACACUGAACAUUUGGCGAACAAAUGCGGCAAACAAAGGUUCAAAUAUCCUCCAAAGCACUUCAAGCCCUCAAAGAAUGAAACUCAAAACGCAGAUGAGGUAAAAGAAGAAACUUCUAAAUUAUAGUGGAGCGACCCAGGGACAAGUCUGGUUUGGGUUAAAGAUUAUGGAUGGUUAACUUUGUGUAACAUGUUUGGACAAGCAAGUUUAGGUUUUAGGCAAGCGACUUCAGGUAUUAGGCAUGCGACUUCAGGCAAGCGACUUCAGGUAUUAGGCAAGCGAGGCGAGUUUAGGCAAGCGAGUUUAGGCAAGCGAGUUCAGGCAAGCGAGUUCAGGCAAGCGAGUUCAGGCAAGAGAGUUCAGGCAAGAGAGUUCAGGCAAGAGAGUUCAGGCAAGAGAGUUCAGGCAAGAGAGUUCAGGCAAGAGAGUUCAGGCAAGAGAGUUCAGGCAAGAGAGUUCAGGCAAGAGAGUUCAGGCAAGAGAGUUCAGGUAUUAGGCAAGCGAGUUUAGGCAAGCGAGUUUAGGCAAGCGAGUUUAGGCAAGCGAGUUUAGGCAAGCGAGUUCAGGUAUUAGGCAAGUGACGCGAGUUUAGCCAAGCAAGUUCAGAUUUUAUGCAAGCGAGUUUAGACAAGCGAGUUUAGGCAAGCAAGUUUAGGUAAGAGAGUCAAGUUACUUUAGGCCUCACUUUAUUUGCGGUUAAAUUGCGGCAUUAGGUUUAGAAAGAAGGUUAAGAGCCAGGCUCAGGUUUGCUUCCAGCCUCGUCCCUCUAGUCGCUCCCUAUAAAGAGGAUUCCCAGCUACCGUGUUAAAAUACAACAGCUGGGAUUACAGAUAUGGAGUACGGAAAUAAAUGACAAAGAUUGAUUCAAACAUUCUUCCCCCAAAAUGUGGUGCAACAUAAUGGAGAAAAUAAUGACUUUCUCUCCAUUGAAACCCAGUCAUAUCUUACGAUCUCACGAGGUCCCGCCGCAAGGGGCGGACUUACAAACUCUAUAGAGUGUGCACUGCGUGUUAAUGUUGGGUGUGGAUUAAUGUGCUGGUGUAGCCAGGGAUCCUCAGGGUUUAUGGGGGCGUAGGACACACUGGUGUAGUUCAGUGCUGUGAAGUAAAUUGAUGCAAAAAGUAGAAUCAGUUUCUAGGGCAAUCAAAUGUCUAUAAAUACAGGAACAGCCCCAUCUGGUCUCAAUCAGCAUUUGAUUCCAUAGACUUAAAUUAGCGAAAAAACAAGCAUUUAUUUACCGCAACAGUCCUAGUGAACCAGGUUUCAAAAAAAGACAAUACGAGCCUCCAGGUGCAUUGGAGUUACUGCAUUUAAUUAACUUCAAAUUAAUUAAGAGCACACUAGUCAGUGGAGAUGUUCACAGAAAAGACUGGUCUUCAGACCUUGAUAAAGAUCAGGAGGGAUUAUAGAAUUGCCGUUGGACGCGUUAGGUCUGUUCAAGGAGGAAGUAAAUAUUUACCAGCGUUGGGUCUCUGCACCGCGACACCCAGCUGCCGCACAUCUGGUCUCCCUUCAAGUCGCCUGAAGGAGAGGUCAACUUUAUUGAACCUAAGGGGAAUGGUCACAUGAAAAGGUAAGGAUAAAUCAAAGCUAAACAUAGAAAGGAUGAAACAAGCAUUGUCCAACAUGGGGUUCGGCGAUAUUUUGAUGUAAAAACAUUUAGGUGUACGAUCCAACCAUCAAAAACAGGCUCUUAUCAUGUUUCCAAUGUGCCCAGAGUAGCUACGCCCUCAUCGGCCACCAGGUGGCAGACUUGAUUUUGUCAGUAGAAGGAGCAAAAUAGCCAUCCAGCUUGAUUACAGCAAUAGUAGAGGAGCGAGUCAAAAGAAUGCGUUUGAGCACCUUCAGCCAUUGGCUCUUGUUCAUGGACAUCCCACUGAUUGGCUGAAAUAAGAUCUUAUUCUCUAGAAAGUUUGUUACAGAGGAAGCCCCUAGUAUCAAAGCAACAUACCCGCCAAACAAAACUAACCGUUGAAUAAAUGAAAAUGUCUUCAAGAUAGUCAAUCCAGCAUCUUACCGGUUCCACAGAGUCUCUAGUCUGCUGCGCUGCGGGCCUUUGGUCCGUCCUCUGCUCCGGAGUAUAAGGAACCAGUCAGUCAUCAAGCUGCUUGGUCUCUUCAAAGAUGUGGUGGUUUGACCGCCUGCACCUUGAGGACGCUGUGGAUACGGUAUGGGACCCUUUAUCAGCAGAUCUGAACUGCAGAACUUUAAUCACAUCAGCUGUAGAUUUAUAUACCUUCUCCGGAAAGAUGAGGGGGGGGGGGGGGGGGGGGGGUGGUCGUCAGCCCCUGAGCAGUGAUCUUCAUCCCCAGUGAUCUUCAUCCCCAGUGACUCCUUCAAUCCUGCUGGAGCAAACACUCAGUUACCAUUUGGAGAUAACCCAGCUACCCUAGUGUACUCACUACCCUAGUGUACUCACUACGAAGUGAUACAACCCGGUUCAGUGUUUCCCCCAGACUAUGUCUGAGUCAAGGUGGUGGGGGGGGGGGUCUUUGGUGAGGGUUUCAGUUCGCAAUAAUACAUACAACCGCCUUUUCAAUUCCAUUCAAAAUGCUUUAUGGCACGACUAUUGUUUUUAACAGUAUAACCG
Long non-coding RNA from Gadus morhua (Atlantic cod), 3122 nucleotides. The record is from Ensembl. Lineage: Eukaryota; Metazoa; Chordata; Actinopteri; Gadiformes; Gadidae.